RNAcentral lists this ribosomal RNA (811 nucleotides) under uncultured Dictyoglomota bacterium. RNAcentral describes it as "bacterial SSU rRNA". It matches the Rfam family "Bacterial small subunit ribosomal RNA", at positions 70 to 858 of the family's 1533-position model. The record is from RNAcentral. Lineage: Bacteria; Pseudomonadati; Dictyoglomota.
AAAGUUCCCUUCGGGGAGCGAGUAGAGUGGCGCACGGGUGAGUAACACGUAGGUAAUCUACCUUUGGAUGGGGAAUAACAACCGGAAACGGUUGCUAAUACCGCAUAAUGCAGCGGCACCUAAUGGUGACAGUUGUUAAAGCGGGGGAUCGUAAGACCUCGCGUCUAAAGAGGAGCCUGCGGCAGAUUAGCUAGUUGGUAAGGUAACGGCUUACCAAGGCGAUGAUCUGUAGCCGGCCUGAGAGGGCGGUCGGCCACACUGACACUGACAUACGGGUCAGACUCCUACGGGAGGCAGCAGUCGGGAAUUUUGGGCAAUGGGCGAAAGCCUGACCCAGCAACGCCGCGUGAAGGAUGAAAUCCUUCGGGAUGUAAACUUCGCAAGAACAGGAAGAAUAAACCGGUGACAAUACCACCGGCGAUGACGGUACUGUUUGUAAGCUCCGGCUAACUCCGUGCCAGCAGCCGCGGUAAUACGGGGGGAGCAAGCGUUGUUCGGAUUUACUGGGCGUAAAGGGCGGGUAGGCGGCCACCGCAAGUCAGUUGUGAAAUCUCUGGGCUUAACCCAGAAAGGUCAACUGAUACUGCGGGGCUAGAGUGCAGAAGGGGCAACUGGAAUUCUCGGUGUAGCGGUGAAAUGCGUAGAUAUCGAGAGGAACACCUGCGGCGAAGGCGGGUUGCUGGGCUGACACUGACGCUGAACUGCGAAAGCUAGGGGAGCGAACGGGAUUAGAUACCCCGGUAGUCCUAGCCUUAAACGAUGAAUGCUUGGUGUCUGGGGUUUUAUAGUCCCCGGGUGCCGUCGCUAACGC